CCUACGGGUGGCAGCAGUAGGGAAUAUUGCUCAAUGGGGGAAAGCCUGAAGCAGCAACGCCGCGUGGGGGAAGAAGGUUUUAGGAGUGUAAACUCCUUUUGUUCGAGAAGCUAAUGACGGUAUGUAUGGAAUAAUCACCGUCUAAAACCGUGCCAGCAGCCGCGGUAAUACGGAGGGUGCAAGCGUUACCCGGAAUCACUGGGGGUAAAGGGCGCGUAGGCGGGAUAGUAAGUCAGAUGUGAAAGCCUAGGGCUUAACCCUAGAACUGCAUUUGAAACUGUUACUCUAGAGUAUGCGAGAGGUAGGUGGAAUGCGUGGUGUAGCGGUAAAAUCCAUAGAGAUCAAGAAGAAUACUCAUUGCGAAGGCGACCUGCUAGAACAUAACUGACGCUGAUGCACGAAAGCGUGGGGAUCAAACAGGAUUAGAUACCCUUGUAGUC
RNAcentral lists this ribosomal RNA (440 nucleotides) under uncultured bacterium. RNAcentral's name for it is "partial 16S ribosomal RNA". It matches the Rfam family "Bacterial small subunit ribosomal RNA", at positions 338 to 795 of the family's 1533-position model. The record is from RNAcentral.